Salvelinus namaycush (lake trout) is the source of this 859-nucleotide long non-coding RNA. RefSeq lists it as uncharacterized. The transcript is spliced from 3 exons. The record is from RefSeq and is a predicted model, not a curated record. Lineage: Eukaryota; Metazoa; Chordata; Actinopteri; Salmoniformes; Salmonidae.
UGGUGGGAUGCGCACUCUCUCAUCAGUAGCUCCCCACAGGGAAAGCUGUUAACAGGAAUAGGUGCAUCACCUGUCACUGAGCUAAAGUUAGCCACAUAAAUGUACGUUCAGUCUGUUAAUUAUUUCAGUCACAUUUGACUUAUUUUACGAAGUCAGCAUGACUUAACAGUUUCUUUCGUUUUUGACCUUGACAUUGUUGCUGGAUAGAUACGUUGAUAGCUAAAAUGCUGGCACUGCUAGUUAGCUAAUGCUAACGACGCUAACCGCGUUAGCUAACCUCCUAUUUGGAUGCCUCACUCUAUUUCCAGUGAGAGAUCAGCGUACUGGUCCUCCAUUCCCAACCCUGAAGCCCCCUGUCCCCAGCAGGAAAGACCAGGAGAAAGUGUUGGCUUAAGGUACAACUUCCUAUUGAGGAAAUAUCUGCACUCCACCACUGCCUGACAGCCUUACCCAGAAGACACUGGGCCUAUCGAGACUGACAAAGCAGAGAUGGGUGGCUGACAAGGAAAAAUAAAACAAAAUGCACACACACACAUUAUCCACAAUGUAAAUAAGUUGUAGUUACUUGUUUAUUUAAUGUUUGCUCCGUGUUAUUUUAGGAUUGUAGAUAUCUACUCCUUCAUAUCAUUCUCAACAUCUACAUAAUUACUCUAAAUAUCUAUCAAAUCAAAGUGUGAUUGAUAAUAUUGUAAAAGACUAUGGCUUAAUUUGUACAGUUUGAGGAAAUUCUGUGUGCUUUUUUCUGAGUUGAAAAACAUGCCUCCCUCACACACACACGUUAGACACAAUGUAAAUACAUUGUUUAUUUUAUGUAUGCUCCAUUUUAUUUGAGGAUUGUGCGCAUUAAAGUACCUUCACA